This 472-nucleotide ribosomal RNA is filed under the name uncultured bacterium. Its description in RNAcentral is "bacterial SSU rRNA". It matches the Rfam family "Bacterial small subunit ribosomal RNA", at positions 335 to 800 of the family's 1533-position model. The record is from RNAcentral.
ACUCCUACGGGAGGCAGCAGUGGGGAAUAUUGCACAAUGGGCGCAAGCCUGAUGCAGCCAUGCCGCGUGUAUGAAGAAGGCCUUCGGGUUGUAAAGUACUUUCAGCAGUGAGGAAGGUGGGUAUGUUAAUAGCAUAUUCAUUUGACGUUAGCUGCAGAAGAAGCACCGGCUAACUCCGUGCCAGCAGCCGCGGUAAUACGGAGGGUGCGAGCGUUAAUCGGAAUUACUGGGCGUAAAGCGCAUGCAGGUGGUUUGUUAAGUCAGAUGUGAAAGCCCGGGGCUCAACCUCGGAAUUGCAUUUGAAACUGGCAAACUAGAGUACUGUAGAGGGGGGUAGAAUUUCAGGUGUAGCGGUGAAAUGCGUAGAGAUCUGAAGGAAUACCGGUGGCGAAGGCGGCCCCCUGGACAGAUACUGACACUCAGAUGCGAAAGCGUGGGAGCAAACAGGAUUAGAUACCCUGAUAGGCUCUGC